Molecule: ribosomal RNA, 253 nt
Filed under: uncultured bacterium
Lineage: Bacteria
Description: partial 16S ribosomal RNA
Rfam family: Bacterial small subunit ribosomal RNA
Source: RNAcentral
UACGGAGGGUGCAAGCGUUAAUCGGAAUUACUGGGCGUAAAGCGCUCGUAGGCGGCUUGUUAAGUCGGAUGUGAAAGCCCUGGGCUUAACCUGGGAAUGGCAUUCGAUACUGGCAGACUAGAGUAUAGUAGAGGCAAGUGGAAUUCCAGGUGUAGCGGUGAAAUGCGUAGAUAUCUGGAAGAACAUCAGUGGCGAAGGCGACUUGCUGGACUAAUACUGACGCUGAAGAGCGAAAGCGUGGGGAGCAAACGGG